UACGUAGGCAGCGAGCGUUGUUCGGAUUUAUUGGGCGUAAAGAGCUCGUAGGCGGUUCGGUAAGUCGAAUGUGAAAUCUCCACGCUCAACGUGGAGGGGUCAUUCGAAACUGCCGUGACUUGAGUACGGUAGGGGAGUGUGGAAUUCCCGGUGUAGCGGUGAAAUGCGCAGAGAUCGGGAGGAACACCCGUAGCGAAGGCGGCACUCUGGGCCGAUACUGACGCUCAGGCACGAAAGCGUGGGGAGCAAACAGG
Molecule: ribosomal RNA, 254 nt
Filed under: uncultured bacterium
Lineage: Bacteria
Description: partial 16S ribosomal RNA
Rfam family: Bacterial small subunit ribosomal RNA
Source: RNAcentral